Molecule: ribosomal RNA, 253 nt
Filed under: uncultured bacterium
Lineage: Bacteria
Description: partial 16S ribosomal RNA
Rfam family: Bacterial small subunit ribosomal RNA
Source: RNAcentral
UACGUAGGGGGCUAGCGUUGUCCGGAAUCAUUGGGCGUAAAGAGCGCGUAGGCGGCCCGAUAAGUCCGCUGUGAAAGUCCAGGGCUCAACCCUGGAAUGCCGGUGGAAACUGUCGGGCUAGAGUACGGAAGAGGCGAGUGGAAUUCCUGGUGUAGCGGUGGAAUGCGCAGAUAUCAGGAGGAACACCAAUAGCGAAGGCAGCUCGCUGGGACGUUACUGACGCUGAGGCGCGAAAGCGUGGGGAGCAAACAGG